GAGGCUGUAACUCAGUGGUAGAGUUCUUGCCUGGCAUGUAUGAGGCCCUGGGUUUGAUCCCUAGCACCUCCU
RNAcentral lists this transfer RNA (72 nucleotides) under Ictidomys tridecemlineatus (thirteen-lined ground squirrel). Its description in RNAcentral is "Spermophilus tridecemlineatus (thirteen-lined ground squirrel) tRNA". It matches the Rfam family "tRNA". From Rfam's summary of the family: Transfer RNA (tRNA) molecules are approximately 80 nucleotides in length. Their secondary structure includes four short double-helical elements and three loops (D, anti-codon, and T loops). Lineage: Eukaryota; Metazoa; Chordata; Mammalia; Rodentia; Sciuridae. The record is from Rfam by way of RNAcentral.